CCUACGGGAGGCAGCAGUGAGGAAUAUUGGUCAAUGGACGAGAGUCUGAACCAGCCAAGUAGCGUGAAGGAUGACUGCCCUAUGGGUUGUAAACUUCUUUUAUAUGGGAAUAAAAUGUUCCACGUGUGGGAUUUUGUAUGUACCAUAUGAAUAAGGAUCGGCUAACUCCGUGCCAGCAGCCGCGGUAAUACGGAGGAUCCGAGCGUUAUCCGGAUUUAUUGGGUUUAAAGGGAGCGUAGGUGGAUUGUUAAGUCAGUUGUGAAAGUUUGCGGCUCAACCGUAAAAUUGCAGUUGAAACUGGCAGUCUUGAGUGCAGUAGAGGUGAGCGGAAUUCGUGGUGUAGCGGUGAAAUGCUUAGAUAUCACGAAGAACUCCGAUUGCGAAGGCAGUUCACUGGACUGCAACUGACACUGAGGCUCGAAAGUGUGGGUAUCAAACAGGAUUAGAUACCCCAGUAGUC
RNAcentral lists this ribosomal RNA (460 nucleotides) under uncultured bacterium. RNAcentral's name for it is "partial 16S ribosomal RNA". It matches the Rfam family "Bacterial small subunit ribosomal RNA", at positions 338 to 795 of the family's 1533-position model. The record is from RNAcentral.